Molecule: ribosomal RNA, 233 nt
Filed under: uncultured bacterium
Lineage: Bacteria
Description: partial 16S ribosomal RNA
Rfam family: Bacterial small subunit ribosomal RNA
Source: RNAcentral
UCCACACAGUAAACGAUAAGCACUAGAUGUUGGGGGAUAAUAUCCUUCGGUGUCGCAGCUAACGCGUUAAGUGCUUCGCCUGGGGAGUACGAUCGCAAGAUUAAAACUCAAAGGAAUUGACGGGGGCCCGCACAAGCGGUGGAGCAUGUGGUUUAAUUCGAUGCAACGCGAAGAACCUUACCUGGACUUGACAUCCUGGGGAUUCUGUAGAGAUACGGGAGUGCCCUUCGGGA